RNAcentral lists this ribosomal RNA (615 nucleotides) under Vishniacozyma carnescens. Its description in RNAcentral is "eukaryotic LSU rRNA". It matches the Rfam family "Eukaryotic large subunit ribosomal RNA", at positions 51 to 656 of the family's 3401-position model. Lineage: Eukaryota; Fungi; Basidiomycota; Tremellomycetes; Tremellales; Bulleribasidiaceae. The record is from RNAcentral.
CGGAGGAAAAGAAACUAACUAGGAUUCCCUUAGUAACGGCGAGUGAACCGGGAUGAGCUCAAAUUUGAAAUCUGGCGUCUUUCAGGCGUCCGAGUUGUAAUCUAUAGAGGCGUUUUCCGCGCCGGACCGCGUCCAAGUCUCUUGGAAUAGAGUAUCAAAGAGGGUGACAAUCCCGUACUUGACGCGACAACCGGUGCUCUGUGAUACGUUCUCAAUGAGUCGAGUUGUUUGGGAAUGCAGCUCUAAAUGGGUGGUAAAUUCCAUCUAAGGCUAAAUAUUGGCGAGAGACCGAUAGCGAACAAGUACCGUGAGGGAAAGAUGAAAAGCACUUUGGAAAGAGAGUUAAACAGCACGUGAAAUUGUUAAAAGGGAAACGAUUGAAGUCAGUCGUGUGGGAAGUAUUCAGCCGUCUCUGGCGGUGUAUUUGCUUCUCACGGGUCAACAUCAGUUUGAUCCGGUAGAAAAAGGCGGGAAGAAGGUGGCACCCUCGGGUGUGUUAUAGCUUCCUGUCAUAUGUGCCGGACCAGACUGAGGAACGCAGCUUGCAGCAAUGCCGGGGUUCGCCCACGUACAAGCUUAGGAUGUUGACAUAAUGGCUUUAAACGACCCGUCUUG